This 495-nucleotide ribosomal RNA is filed under the name uncultured bacterium. RNAcentral describes it as "partial 16S ribosomal RNA". It matches the Rfam family "Bacterial small subunit ribosomal RNA", at positions 28 to 507 of the family's 1533-position model. The record is from RNAcentral.
GACGAACGCUGGCGGCGUGCCUAAUACAUGCAAGUAGAACGCUGAGGGAGGAGCUUGCUCUUCUGGAUGAGUUGCGAACGGGUGAGUAACGCGUAGGUAACCUUCCUGGUAGCGGGGGAUAACUAUUGGAAACGAUAGCUAAUACCGCAUAACAGUAGAUGUUUCAUGACAUUUACUUCAAAGUUGCAAUUGCAUCACUACCAGAUGGUCCUGCGUUGUAUUAGCUAGUUGGUGGGGUAACGGCUCACCAAAGCGACGAUACCUAGCAGACCUGAGCGGGUGAUAGGCCACACUGGGAAUGAGACACGGCCCAGACUCAUACGGGAGGCAGCAGUAGGGAAGCUUAGGCAACGGACGGAAGCCUGACCGAGCAACGCCGCGUGAGUGAAGAAGGUCUUCGGAUCGUAAAGCUCUGUUGUAAAAGAAGAACGAGUGUGAGAGUGGCAAGUCCACACUGUGACGGUAUCUUACCAGAAAGGGACGGCUAACUACGAG